UACAUGUGGGGCAAGCGUUGUUCGGAAUUACUGGGCAUAAAGGGUGCGUAGGUGGCUUGUUAAGUCAGGGGUGAAAGUUUUCGGCCCAACCGGAAAAUGGCCUUUGAUACUGGCGAGCUCGAGUGCGUGAGGGGUAACCGGAACGAGCAGUGUAGCGGUGAAAUGCGUAGAUAUUGCUCGGAAGGCCAACGGCGAAGGCAGGUUACUGGUGCGCAACUGACACUGAGGCACUAAAGCGUGGGGAGCAAACAGG
This 253-nucleotide ribosomal RNA is filed under the name uncultured bacterium. RNAcentral describes it as "partial 16S ribosomal RNA". It matches the Rfam family "Bacterial small subunit ribosomal RNA", at positions 524 to 776 of the family's 1533-position model. The record is from RNAcentral.